This 253-nucleotide ribosomal RNA is filed under the name uncultured bacterium. RNAcentral describes it as "partial 16S ribosomal RNA". It matches the Rfam family "Bacterial small subunit ribosomal RNA", at positions 524 to 776 of the family's 1533-position model. The record is from RNAcentral.
UACGUAGGUGGCAAGCGUUGUCCGGAUUUAUUGGGUUUAAAGGGUCUGUAGGUGGCUUGCUAAGUCAGACGUGAAAUCCCUCAGCUUAACUGGGGAACUGCGUCUGAGACUGGCGAGCUUGAGUGCAGGAGAGGAACGCGGAAUUCCAGGUGUAGCGGUGAAAUGCGUAGAUAUCUGGAGGAACACCGGUGGCGAAGGCGGCGUUCUGGACUGCAACUGACACUGAGAGACGAAAGCCAGGGGAGCAAACGGG